GGCUGGUCCGAUUGGUAGUGGGUUAUCAGAACUUAUUAACAUUAGUGUCAUUAAAGUUGGUAUACUAUCCUCCACUGCUAAAUUUGACUGGCUUUAA
This 97-nucleotide Y RNA is filed under the name Carlito syrichta (Philippine tarsier). RNAcentral's name for it is "Y RNA (ENSTSYG00000020016.2)". It matches the Rfam family "Y RNA". From Rfam's summary of the family: Y RNAs are components of the Ro ribonucleoprotein particle (Ro RNP), in association with Ro60 and La proteins. The record is from Rfam by way of RNAcentral. Lineage: Eukaryota; Metazoa; Chordata; Mammalia; Primates; Tarsiidae.